Molecule: transfer RNA, 71 nt
Filed under: Globitermes sulphureus
Lineage: Eukaryota; Metazoa; Arthropoda; Insecta; Blattodea; Termitidae
Description: tRNA-Asn
Source: RNAcentral
UUAACUGAAACCAAAGAAAGAGGUAUAUUAUUGUUAAUAAUAAAAUUGAAUCAAAUAGAAUUCCAGUUAAG